This 76-nucleotide small RNA is filed under the name Xanthomonas vasicola. RNAcentral's name for it is "sX9 sRNA". It matches the Rfam family "Xanthomonas sRNA sX9". Lineage: Bacteria; Pseudomonadati; Pseudomonadota; Gammaproteobacteria; Lysobacterales; Lysobacteraceae. The record is from RNAcentral.
AUGUACCACUCGUACACUCCGGUUCCUGCGCGCCGUCCGCGCCCACCUGGCGGCUGCUCGCUACGUUUUGUUAGCC